RNAcentral lists this ribosomal RNA (373 nucleotides) under uncultured organism. RNAcentral describes it as "bacterial SSU rRNA". It matches the Rfam family "Bacterial small subunit ribosomal RNA", at positions 526 to 896 of the family's 1533-position model. The record is from RNAcentral.
CGUAGGGUGCGAGUCGUUAAUCGGAAUUACUGGGCGUAAAGCGUGCGCAGGCGGUUUGUUAAGAUAGGCGUGAAAUCCCCGGGCUCAACCUGGGAACUGCGCUUAUGACUGGCAAGCUAGAGUACGGCAGAGGGGGGUGGAAUUCCACGUGUAGCAGUGAAAUGCGUAGAGAUGUGGAGGAACACCAAUGGCGAAGGCAGCCCCCUGGGUCGAUACUGACGCUCAUGCACGAAAGCGUGGGUAGCAAACAGGAUUAGAUACCCUGGUAGUCCACGCCCUAAACGAUGUCAACUAGGUGUUGGAUGGGUAAAACCAUUUAGUACCGGAGCUAACGCGUGAAGUUGACCGCCUGGGGAGUACGGCCGCAAGGUUA